Molecule: ribosomal RNA, 257 nt
Filed under: uncultured bacterium
Lineage: Bacteria
Description: partial 16S ribosomal RNA
Rfam family: Bacterial small subunit ribosomal RNA
Source: RNAcentral
UACGAGGGGGGCAAGCGUUGGUUCGGAAUUAUUGGGCGUAAAGGGUGCGUAGGCGGUUUUGUAAGUCUUGUGUGAAAUCUUCAGGCUCAACUUGAAGACUGCACGAGAAACUGCAGGGGCUUGAGUGUGGGAGAGGUGAGUGGGAAUUCCUGGUGUAGCGGUGAAAAUGCGUAGAUAUCAGGAGGAACACCUGUGGCGAAAGCGGCUCACUGGACCACAACUGACGCUGAUGCACGAAAGCUAGGGGAGCAAACAGG